GAUUCUCUGGAGAGCUCCGGGUAAGGCCGGGCGCCGAAGGUGUACGCGUUAAGGGGUCAUCGAGGAAGACUCAAAUAAACGUAAUCUCUCAGGCAAAAGGACAGGGCA
RNAcentral lists this non-coding RNA (108 nucleotides) under bovine gut metagenome. RNAcentral's name for it is "Glycine riboswitch". It matches the Rfam family "Glycine riboswitch aptamer", at positions 9 to 86 of the family's 94-position model. From Rfam's summary of the family: This family represents the bacterial glycine riboswitch. Glycine riboswitches usually consist of two metabolite-binding aptamers domains with similar structures in tandem. The aptamers cooperatively bind glycine to regulate the expression of downstream genes. The record is from RNAcentral.